RNAcentral lists this ribosomal RNA (389 nucleotides) under Ascidiella sp. RNAcentral's name for it is "partial small subunit ribosomal RNA". It matches the Rfam family "Eukaryotic small subunit ribosomal RNA", at positions 582 to 975 of the family's 1831-position model. Lineage: Eukaryota; Metazoa; Chordata; Ascidiacea; Phlebobranchia; Ascidiidae. The record is from RNAcentral.
AUUCCAGCUCCAAAAGUGUAUAUUUAAGUUGUUGCGGUUAAAAAGCUCGUAGUUGGAUUUUGGGCGCAGGCGGCCGGUCCGUCGCAAGGCGUGUACUGGCCGUCCUGGCCUCACCUCCGGUUCUCCGCCGGUGCCCUUGACUGAGUGUCGGCGGCGGCCGGAACGUUUACUUUGAAAAAAUUAGAGUGUUCAAAGCAGGCGAUUCGCCUGAAUAAUGGUGCAUGGAAUAAUGGAAUAGGACCUCGGUUCUAUUUUGUUGGUUUUCGGAGCGCGAGGUAAUGAUUAAGAGGGACAGACGGGGGCAUUCGUACUGUGCCGUUAGAGGUGAAAUUCUUGGAUCGGCGCAAGACGAACGACUGCGAAAGCAUUUGCCAAGAAUGUUUUCAUCA